CAGCAAUGCUCCGUCCUUAGAUAAAUAACGUCUAUGAAUAAAGGGGUUAAAUUUUACCCACUUGCUAUCUGGCGCUAUAAUAAUUUGGCCCGUUCCGACGAUCCUUUUACUCUCCAUAUUCAUUCCAUUCAUUUCCGUUUUAUAUUAUAAUUCUCUUUGCAUUAGAUAUAUCUUAGAGUUAAACCAUAUAAUACUCUUCGCAUUAUACUCUCAAAACAAUUCAUUAUCAAAGAGAAUUACAAUAUAUGGAAACUUAUUAUAAUUUCUUUGGUCUGACGCCAAACGCAAUUACCAAAGAGAAUACUUACACAUUUCCAAUCACAAUAUGUAGCAUAAAAUAAGUGCAAGAUUUAAAUCAAGUAUUCCUACAUAGUUAAUAAUGAUAUAUACCCACUCAUAAAAUAUGCACCAUAGGUAUGAGCCUUUUGAAAGGAAAGGAGAAAGUAUUUUGUUCUAAUUCACAGAAAAACCACAUGACGUCAAGAACCCGCGAUUUUAUACAGAAAAUUUGCUAUAGGCGAACUGCGUCUGUUGAUAUGACCCGGUAUGGCUUUAUAAGCGAUAGCAAAAUUCAUCCAGUCAACUUAUUGCUGAAACCUCUUCGCCAGCAGUUGGAGAAAAUUUGUGCUAAAGUUGUUCACGGUCCAAGAAAACCUUCCCCAGUUAAAGGAAAGAACAAUCUCAAAUUACGAAGAGUUACAAAACACAAUAAAAGAAAACCCAAGAAGGACAAAAAUUACUCAAAAAAGAAAUUAAAGCUUCAAAGUAUUAAAUUAAAGAAAAAAAUAUGAAUACAUACAUUAAAUAAAGCGCUUAUCUAAUAAUUAAUUCAUUAUUAUUUUGAGAUUAAACAUCCUAUAAACUAGAAUUCCAUUGCAUUGUGAAAGUCUUUUACACGAAUAAAGGUGACACUGUGCAAUUUCCUUAGAUAUCAAUUAUAAGUCUCGAUAUAACCCUGUAAAAAGUAAAAAUUAAAAUGU
This is a long non-coding RNA of Manduca sexta (tobacco hornworm), 980 nucleotides long. RefSeq lists it as uncharacterized. The transcript has 3 exons. The record is from RefSeq and is a predicted model, not a curated record. Lineage: Eukaryota; Metazoa; Arthropoda; Insecta; Lepidoptera; Sphingidae.